This is a long non-coding RNA of Phyllostomus discolor (pale spear-nosed bat), 541 nucleotides long. RefSeq lists it as uncharacterized. The transcript is spliced from 2 exons. NCBI's taxonomy places the organism in Eukaryota, Metazoa, Chordata, Mammalia, Chiroptera, Phyllostomidae. The record is from RefSeq and is a predicted model, not a curated record.
GUCUGGAUUUAGGGAGGAAGAAACUCUACUGCCAAACUGUAGGGCUUCCGUGUCACUGGAAAGGUUCACCCAGGUCCAGACUGUUUCAAGGACAGGCGCAGUGGUUUGGUGGCAACAGAAACCUGGACUUCGUCUCUCACCAUGUUCAGCUCUUCUCAGCAGCACAGAUCAGGAUGGCUGCUCCGGUCCCUGCCAUUGGCUGGCAUGGAACAGGGAACAGCGGAGUGUGUGCCCGUUCCCCUGAAGGGCACCAUCCUGAAGUUGCACAAGCCACUUCUCACCAACCAUUGCUGGGAACUUAACCACAUGGUUACACCAGCAAGGAACACUGGGAAAUGUAGUCUUUAUUUUGGGCAGCCUAAGCCCAACAAAAAACCAGGGAUUCUAUUACAAGGGAAGGAAGGGGGACAACCACAAGUACUUUAAUGGAUGGAAUAAAGGGUUUUUUGAAAUCAAGGGUAUGGUUUUGAGUACUUCAUUUUGGCUUCACUGUGGUCCAUUUAGUAAACCUAGUAGUACCUGAUUAAAUUAGACAUGGAUA